CCUACGGGUGGCUGCAGUGAGGAAUAUUGGUCAAUGGGCGCGAGCCUGAACCAGCCAAGUAGCGUGAAGGAUGACUGCCCUACGGGUUGUAAACUCCUUUUAUAAAGGAAUAAAAUGAGGCACGUGUGUCUUUUUGUCUGUACGUUAUGUAUAAAGAACGGCUAAUUCCGUUCCAGCAGCCGCGGUAAUACGGAGGGUCCGAGCGUUAUCCGGAUUUAUUGGGUUUAAAGUGAGCGUAGAUGGGUUGUUAAGUCAGUUGUGAAAGUUUGCGGCUCAACCGUAAAAUUGCAAUUGAUACUGGCAGUCUUGAGUACAGUUGAGGUAGGCGGAAUUCGUGGUGUAGCGGUGAAAUGCGUAGAUAUCACGAAGAACUCCGAUUGCGAAGGCAGCUUACUGAACUGCCACUGACAUUGAUGCUCGAAAGUGUGGGUAUCAAACAGGAUUAGAUACCCUAGUAGUC
RNAcentral lists this ribosomal RNA (460 nucleotides) under uncultured bacterium. RNAcentral's name for it is "partial 16S ribosomal RNA". It matches the Rfam family "Bacterial small subunit ribosomal RNA", at positions 338 to 795 of the family's 1533-position model. The record is from RNAcentral.